GAUAUCGCUUUAUACUCACGAUCUUGUAUCCACUGACUGUCUUGUUAGAUUAACCAAAUAAAUUUCAUUCACUCCGCAUACUCAAUCCUAUAGACAUCCUUUUAACUCUUCAUCACAGACGUAACUCGAUUUCACAAAACAGUCAAGAGUAAUCAAACCCACUUCAUUAAAAAUCCCGAUUCACCAUUAUAACACUGACUUCAGCAACGAUUGCCUCAGUCUUCCCAAAAUCCUAUGAAGAAAAAAAAACCCAAUUCUCUGUCU
Molecule: long non-coding RNA, 264 nt
Filed under: Physcomitrium patens
Lineage: Eukaryota; Viridiplantae; Streptophyta; Bryopsida; Funariales; Funariaceae
Description: long non-coding RNA (PPAT_LNC009817)
Source: RNAcentral